GUUAAGCGACUAAGCGUACACGGUGGAUGCCCUGGCAGUCAGAGGCGAUGAAGGACGUGCUAAUCUGCGAUAAGCGUCGGUAAGGUGAUAUGAACCGUUAUAACCGGCGAUUUCCGAAUGGGGAAACCCAGUGUGAUUCGUCACACUAUCAUUAACUGAAUCCAUAGGUUAAUGAGGCGAACCGGGGGAACUGAAACAUCUAAGUACCCCGAGGAAAAGAAAUCAACCGAGAUUCCCCCAGUAGCGGCGAGCGAACGGGGAGCAGCCCAGAGCCUGAAUCAGUGUGUGUGUUAGUGGAAGCGUCUGGAAAGGCGCGCGAUACAGGGUGACAGCCCCGUACACAAAAAUGCACAUACUGUGAGCUCGAUGAGUAGGGCGGGACACGUGGUAUCCUGUCUGAAUAUGGGGGGACCAUCCUCCAAGGCUAAAUACUCCUGACUGACCGAUAGUGAACCAGUACCGUGAGGGAAAGGCGAAAAGAACCCCGGCGAGGGGAGUGAAAAAGAACCUGAAACCGUGUACGUACAAGCAGUGGGAGCACGCUUAGGCGUGUGACUGCGUACCUUUUGUAUAAUGGGUCAGCGACUUAUAUUCUGUAGCAAGGUUAACCGAAUAGGGGAGCCGAAGGGAAACCGAGUCUUAACUGGGCGUUAAGUUGCAGGGUAUAGACCCGAAACCCGGUGAUCUAGCCAUGGGCAGGUUGAAGGUUGGGUAACACUAACUGGAGGACCGAACCGACUAAUGUUGAAAAAUUAGCGGAUGACUUGUGGCUGGGGGUGAAAGGCCAAUCAAACCGGGAGAUAGCUGGUUCUCCCCGAAAGCUAUUUAGGUAGCGCCUCGUGAAUUCAUCUCCGGGGGUAGAGCACUGUUUCGGCAAGGGGGUCAUCCCGACUUACCAACCCGAUGCAAACUGCGAAUACCGGAGAAUGUUAUCACGGGAGACACACGGCGGGUGCUAACGUCCGUCGUGAAGAGGGAAACAACCCAGACCGCCAGCUAAGGUCCCAAAGUCAUGGUUAAGUGGGAAACGAUGUGGGAAGGCCCAGACAGCCAGGAUGUUGGCUUAGAAGCAGCCAUCAUUUAAAGAAAGCGUAAUAGCUCACUGGUCGAGUCGGCCUGCGCGGAAGAUGUAACGGGGCUAAACCAUGCACCGAAGCUGCGGCAGCGACGCUGAUGCGUUGUUGGGUAGGGGAGCGUUCUGUAAGCCUGUGAAGGUGUGCUGUGAGGCAUGCUGGAGGUAUCAGAAGUGCGAAUGCUGACAUAAGUAACGAUAAAGCGGGUGAAAAGCCCGCUCGCCGGAAGACCAAGGGUUCCUGUCCAACGUUAAUCGGGGCAGGGUGAGUCGACCCCUAAGGCGAGGCCGAAAGGCGUAGUCGAUGGGAAACAGGUUAAUAUUCCUGUACUUGGUGUUACUGCGAAGGGGGGACGGAGAAGGCUAUGUUGGCCGGGCGACGGUUGUCCCGGUUUAAGCGUGUAGGCUGGUUUUCCAGGCAAAUCCGGAAAAUCAAGGCUGAGGCGUGAUGACGAGGCACUACGGUGCUGAAGCAACAAAUGCCCUGCUUCCAGGAAAAGCCUCUAAGCAUCAGGUAACAUCAAAUCGUACCCCAAACCGACACAGGUGGUCAGGUAGAGAAUACCAAGGCGCUUGAGAGAACUCGGGUGAAGGAACUAGGCAAAAUGGUGCCGUAACUUCGGGAGAAGG
RNAcentral lists this ribosomal RNA (1702 nucleotides) under Escherichia coli. Its description in RNAcentral is "partial 23S ribosomal RNA". It matches the Rfam family "Bacterial large subunit ribosomal RNA", at positions 1 to 1746 of the family's 2925-position model. The record is from RNAcentral. Lineage: Bacteria; Pseudomonadati; Pseudomonadota; Gammaproteobacteria; Enterobacterales; Enterobacteriaceae.